Long non-coding RNA from Octopus bimaculoides (California two-spot octopus), 1299 nucleotides. RefSeq lists it as uncharacterized. Lineage: Eukaryota; Metazoa; Mollusca; Cephalopoda; Octopoda; Octopodidae. The record is from RefSeq and is a predicted model, not a curated record.
AAAUCUCAUGAACCAUCCUUGACUUGCCUUGAACUCUACGUCUUCUUCAUCUGGAUAUGUUUUCUUCCGGUCCUCAAACACAGACAACACUUUCUCUUGAAUGAUUUCCUGACUAAUAGUAGCACGCUAACGAUUCAACCUAACACUCCAAAGAGAAAGAAGACUUUCCAGUUCUUCAAAGAUUUUGCCUCUUUUCUUAUUGAUGACAGUGUUCUUCAUCCCUGGGGUAUCAGAUUUGAUAUGUGCUAAAAUCAUGUCCUUAUUAUGUACAAUCAUUGAUACAGUUGUCCGACUCAUCCCAAAAGAUUGUGCACUUGCUACUACUUUUUCACCUUUUUCAUGGCGUUUUAUCAUAGUCAGUUUAUCUUCCAGUGUUAUAGCAUGGCGCUUAGUACUUUCAGUAUGAAUUUUCUUAGGAGCCAUGGAGGUAAAAAAAUAAAGUCACAAAUGAUUGAGAAAGUAGCCGAUAAACAGAUGUAAACAAAUCUGAAUUCAAAACAAUCGUGGGAAUCACGAGUGACAUCGACACCUAACAGUAGAUAUUGGAACUACAAUGUAAUAUGAGCUCCGAAAGACAGAUAAAUAGGACAACACGGCUGAUCUCAUGAUUUCGUUCACUAAGCUACACUACUUUAUGUCUUUUGACUGUGGCCAUGCUGGAGCACUGCCUUUAGUGGAACAAAUUGACCCCCAGCACCUAGUCUUUAUUGACAACACGACAGGCUGAAUCUGGCCAGUUUGAAACCAGAUAUGGCCAGUUUGAAACCAGAUAUGGCUAGAUUGAAACCAGAUAUGGCCAGUUUAAAUACUAAGGGAUUGAGAUUGUUUUUGACAAGAUCCCCAAACUGUUUACUUGGCUUCUGUCUCAGUCAUUUACCACACUGCAACUCGUUGUAAGACAACUGCUUAGGUAACCUAUCAACCUGCAUCCUAGUAAGAUGUCCAGCCCACCACAACUAAUUGCAUAUGAGGAGCAUCUCAAUAUUACUUAUGCUAGCUUGCUAUAAAAACAGAGCUGUCAGAUGUUAGAGACUGCCAUCUGCUAUAUAGGAUCCUCCUUAGUCAUUUCACUGAGGCCAUGCUGGAGCACCACCUUUAAUUGAACAAAUCGACCCCAGGACUUAUUCUUUAUUUACCGUAAAUAAUGAAAUUGGCUUCAAAAAUUAUUUCCGGGGGGGGGGGGGUAAAAAAAAAAUAAUACAAAUAAUUAUCUCUAAAAUUACAAGACGUUCCAACUCCACCAUUUUACAUAUUUUUCAAAAUUAUUGUUAAGAAAUAAAAGGAAAAUAGAGAAGAGAA